Non-coding RNA from Physcomitrium patens, 1786 nucleotides. NCBI's taxonomy places the organism in Eukaryota, Viridiplantae, Streptophyta, Bryopsida, Funariales, Funariaceae. The record is from RefSeq and is a predicted model, not a curated record.
CAAAUAAAAAUAACCGUACAACACACAAAUAAAUAAAUUCAUGAAACAUCGUCUUCACUGAGUAGAUUUAAAAUCCUUCUGUUUUUGCCUUGGUAUGAUCCAAAAGGCAACUCGUCUUCCUCCUCUUUCAUGGGAGAGAGGUGCGAUGCAGCGACUGGGGUUUACAAACUUUAUAUUAUUUUGCUAAAUUUCCCGGUCAGAAAGAGACGAUUCUCAUUCUGCGGUACUGGUUGAGAACUUGGGGGAUCCUGGUUUGGAGCAGAAUGAUGAACAUCGAUGCCCCAGUGUGCUUAUUUAGAGGCUUUCUAAUCAUGGGUUAAUUCCCACUCGGGCUGCAAAUAGGUUGCAGAUUCUGGCUCCACUGGUUCAUCCUUUUGGCAAUAUUCUUCUAUUAAUGAUAAUGAGGCCAGUGAGGCGAGUUUCUUAACUUAGAGAGUGUUCACCUGUGCAUAAUGAGAUCCGACACCCGGGCAGUGUGAGCAAGGAGGACAGACGAUUCGUUGAAUGAAGGCCUUUUGGUCUAGGCCUACUGGGCCGCAAGUGGAGUCUUGCUGCAGGCUAUUAUGAGCUUGGCGCACUUUGCACUGGAAAUGUUUGUCAUUCAUACCAGACUGGAGAGGUUUUUCGUCACUCGAGAUGACAUCGAAGAAAUUGGGUAUUCUCAUAAGGAGACAUUUCUUCAUUAUAUGGCAAACAAAACAGAGCGUCCAACACUUCAUAGAAGCGGGAAGAACACACACAAGUAUAUAAAAAGUAGUCUUGUAUAUAGAUAGAUAGAUGUCCAGGACAAGUGGAGCAUAAUGGGAGAAGGAAGUCGGAACCCAGUUUCAAGAGAACCAAAGCCUCUUCUGGAGCCCAUCCAAAGCCUCGUCCCGGAAAGCGAAGCAUCGGAGAAGCAAGGGAAAUGCAGUGCAGUUCGGAAAGAAUGUUACACCCUAAAUUUACUGAGGCAGCGAGAGAGCUCCUAAACACGGGCAGCAGAACCAUUCCCGACUGAUCGCCUGCCACAUUCGGCUGGUUUGGAUGUCCACGUAUCUCGCCUUCGCAACAGGAGGGAGAUUCCAUGGAAGGCACUUGAGGGACUCUUUUCGGAAGUCGAGAUACAUAAAUUUUUGCUCUAUUUCGGAGCUGGGCGAUGUCGCCACUUGAAGAGAGGAGGAGCGUAACCCUCCCUGUCCGUGGGUGCGGCAACAGAUUCAACUUAACCGUGUUACUUACUAUGGCCCACGGACAUUUAGGAGUGGACCCAGUUCGAAAAAACGACGGUUGAGAUCCCCAUUCCCUGCAACAAAGCUCUCGAGAUUCCACAUCGUCGGCGGGGGAAGGCGAUGGAGCUCUGUGCUAGAGGAGGCGCGGAACCAGUCGCCGCAUGUUGUUGGAUUUCACACAUUUGCUCAUUCGAUUGCUGGGUCUCCUCCAUCUCUCUAUUUCAGUACACAUCGGAGACCGAACAGUUUGCAGAUGCGAAAUGUUUUUGCAGGGCCACAAGUCCAUUGCAGGAUGAUUAGGGUUUCAGUUAGGGUUUUUUUAAAGCCUACAACAAAACCUCUUUGGAACUUUUAUUUACAAUACGGAAGUUUGUAGAAUUUCGUAAUAAUUUUAUUGUAAUGAUUUAAUGAUUUAAUAAUUGAAUAAUGAACGUAUUUGUUAGGGUGGAUGAUACAUGUCUUCUUUGUUAACAAAUUACAUUUGAAAUUACUAUGUGUAGAUUUUCGAGACAUGACAAAGUAAAAUAAUUGUAGGAUUAGGCUGGUUCUUUAACAAAAAAAAAAAAAAAAAAAAAAAA